Molecule: long non-coding RNA, 629 nt
Organism: Amphiprion ocellaris (clown anemonefish)
Lineage: Eukaryota; Metazoa; Chordata; Actinopteri; Pomacentridae
Source: Ensembl
CUCGACACACGCCUCGAAGCCUCGGCACGUCUCGUAACAUCGCUAAUAAACAGUUUAUCUGUAAAUCAACGUCAAAAAGAAAACCCAGCGCUAUAUGCAAAUUCUGCAACGCAACGCUCACUGAGGCGGCUGGAACCACAUCGAACUUUUACCGACACUUGGAGAGGAAGCAUAAAGAAAGACAAACACCUGAAUGAUCCCCAAGAGUUCUGGGAGAAUAUCCUCCGGAAUGAUGGACAGAACAUUUUGGAAGGCCAGAGGAAGAUUUGGCUGCAGGUUUGUGUGCACUCGGGAAGCUCGUGUCAGCGCUUUGUGCCUCCAGUAGAAGGUCGAAAACGACUCGACUUCCAGAUUAACAGUUGGCUCCGGUCGAGGUAACGCUUGUUAUCAGACGAAGCAACUCCACAGUUACUAACAGCAGAAAGUUACAGCAACAGCUGAAGUUUAAACACUCACAGACUGCGAAAUAUGAAGCUUUUUUGAAUGAAAAACAAGAAUUAGCUGCAGGUUAUUGUGGAAGUUUAUGGUCUGAUUUGAAGAAAAUAACGGUUUACUAAGAAAAUCCUUGCUAACUGUAUGCCCUGACAGAGGACUUUUUUAAAAUGUAUUUUUUCUUCUUUACAUUAAGU